GAGCGCGUCGCGGCGCCGGCACUGCCGUUAUCCCAUUAUCCCAUUCCCGUUAUCCCAUUCCCGUUAUCCCAUUAUCCCAUUCCCGUUAUCCCAUUAUCCCGUUAUCCCAUUAUCCCGAUAUUCCCAUUAUCCCGAUAUUCCCGUUAUCCCGUUAUUCCCGUACCCGAGUGUGUCCGCAGGUGGCCGCUGAGCGCGUCACGGCGCCGGCACUGCCGUUAUCCCAUUAUCCCAUUCCCGUUAUCCCAUUAUCCCAUUCCUGUUAUCCCAUUCCCAUUAUCCCGAUAUUCCCGUUAUCCUGAUAUUCCCGUUAUCCCAACAUUCCCAUUAUCCCGACAUUCCCAUUUUUCCCGUACCCGAGUGUGUCCGCAGGUGGCCGCUGAGCGCGUCGCAGCACCGGCACUGCCGUUAUCCCAUUAUCCUAUUCCCGUUAUCCCAUUAUCCCGAUAUUCCCGUUAUCCCGAUAUUCCCGCUGUUCCCAUACCCGAGUGUGUCCGCAGGUGGCCGCUGAGCGCGUCGCGGCGCCGGCACUGCCGUUAUCCCAUUAUCCUAUUCCCGUUAUCCCAUUCCCGUUAUCCCAUUCCUGUUAUCCCAUUCCCGUUAUCCCGAUAUUCCCGAUAUUCCCAUUAUCCCGAUAUUCCCGCUGUUCCCGUACCCGAGUGUGUCCGGAGGUGGCCGCUGAGCGCGUCGCGGCGCCGGCACUGCCGUUAUCCCAUUAUCCCAUUCCCGUUAUCCCAUUAUCCCAUUCCCGUUAUCCCAUUAUCCCAUUCCCGUUAUCCCAUUCCCGUUAUCCCAUUAUCCCAUUCCCGUUAUCCCGAUAUUCCCGCUGUUCCCGUACCCGAGUGUGUCCGGAGGUGGCCGCUGAGCGCGUCGCGGCGCCGGCACUGCCGUUAUCCCGUUAUCCCAUUCCCGUUAUCCCAUUAUCCCAUUCCCAUUAUCCCGAUAUUCCCAUUAUCCCGAUAUUCCCGACGUUCCCGUACCCGAGUGUGUCCGCAGGUGGCCGCUGAGCGCGUCGCGGCGCCGGCACUGCCGUUAUCCCAUUAUCCCAUUCCCGUUAUCCCAUUCCUGUUAUCCCAUUCCCGUUAUCCCAUUCCCGUUAUCCCAUUCCCAAUAUCCCAUUAUCCCAACAUUCCCGACAUUCCCGUUAUCCCGAUAUUCCCAACAUUCCGUACCCGAGUGUGUCCGCAGGUGGCCGCUGAGCGCGUCACAGCGCCGGCACUGCCGUUAUCCCAUUAUCCCAUUCCCGUUAUCCCAUUCCCAAUAUCCCAUUAUCCCAACAUUCCCGAUAUUCCCGUUAUCCCGACAUUCCCGAUAUUCCCAUUAUCCCGAUAUUCCCGUUAUCCCGAUAUUCCCGACGUUCCCGUACCCGAGUGUGUCCGGAGGUGGCCGCUGAGCGCGUCGCGGCGCCGGCACUGCCGUUAUCCCAUUAUCCCAUUCCCGUUAUCCCAUUCCCAAUAUCCCAUUAUCCCAUUCCCAUUAUCCCGAUGUUCCCAUUAUCCCGACAUUCCCGAUGUCAUUCCCGUACCCGAGUGUGUCCGCAGGUGGCCGCUGAGCGCAUCACGGCGCCGGCACUGCUGUUAUCCCAUUAUCCCAUUCCCGUUAUCCCAUUCCUGUUAUCCCAUUCCCGUUAUCCCAUUAUCCCAUUCCCGUUAUCCCAUUAUCCCAUUCCCGUUAUCCCAUUAUCCCGACAUUCCCGUUAUCCCAUUAUCCCAUUCCCGUUAUCCCAUUAUCCCAUUCCUGUUAUCCCAUUAUCCCAUUCCUGUUAUCCCAUUAUCCCAUUCCCGUUAUCCCAUUAUCCCAUUCCCGUUAUCCCAUUAUCCCAUUCCCGUUAUCCCAUUCCCGUUAUCCCAUUAUCCCAUUCCCGUUAUCCCGAUAUUCCCGCUGUUCCCGUACCCGAGUGUGUCCGGAGGUGGCCGCUGAGCGCGUCGCGGCGCCGGCACUGCCGUUAUCCCGUUAUCCCAUUCCCGUUAUCCCAUUAUCCCAUUCCCAUUAUCCCGAUAUUCCCAUUAUCCCGAUAUUCCCGACGUUCCCGUACCCGAGUGUGUCCGCAGGUGGCCGCUGAGCGCGUCGCGGCGCCGGCACUGCUGUUAUCCCAUUAUCCCAUUCCCGUUAUCCCAUUCCCAAUAUCCCAUUAUCCCAACAUUCCCGAUAUUCCCAUUAUCCCGAUAUUCCCGUUAUCCCGAUAUUCCCGAUGUCAUUCCCGUACCCGAGUGUGUCCGGAGGUGGCC
Molecule: long non-coding RNA, 2225 nt
Organism: Cyanistes caeruleus (blue tit)
Lineage: Eukaryota; Metazoa; Chordata; Aves; Passeriformes; Paridae
Source: Ensembl